This 1347-nucleotide ribosomal RNA is filed under the name uncultured bacterium. RNAcentral's name for it is "bacterial SSU rRNA". It matches the Rfam family "Bacterial small subunit ribosomal RNA", at positions 28 to 1381 of the family's 1533-position model. The record is from RNAcentral.
GACGAACGCUGUUGGCGUGCUUAACACAUGCAAGUCGAACGGAAAGGCCCUGCUUUUGUGGGGUGCUCGAGUGGCGAACGGGUGAGUAACACGUGAGUAACCUGCCCUUGACUUUGGGAUAACUUCAGGAAACUGGGGCUAAUACCGGAUAGGAGCUCCUGCUGCAUGGUGGGGGUUGGAAAGUUUCGGCGGUUGGGGAUGGACUCGCGGCUUAUCAGCUUGUUGGUGGGGUAGUGGCUUACCAAGGCUUUGACGGGUAGCCGGCCUGAGAGGGUGACCGGCCACAUUGGGACUGAGAUACGGCCCAGACUCCUACGGGAGGCAGCAGUGGGGAAUAUUGCACAAUGGGCGGAAGCCUGAUGCAGCAACGCCGCGUGCGGGAUGACGGCCUUCGGGUUGUAAACCGCUUUCGCCUGUGACGAAGCGUGAGUGACGGUAAUGGGUAAAGAAGCACCGGCUAACUACGUGCCAGCAGCCGCGGUGAUACGUAGGGUGCGAGCGUUGUCCGGAUUUAUUGGGCGUAAAGGGCUCGUAGGUGGUUGAUCGCGUCGGAAGUGUAAUCUUGGGGCUUAACCCUGAGCGUGCUUUCGAUACGGGUUGACUUGAGGAAGGUAGGGAGAAAUGGAUUUCCUGGUGAGCGGUGGAAUGCCGCAGAUAUCAGGAGGACCACCAGUGGCGAAAGGCGUUUUUCUGGGCCUUUCUUGACGCUGAGGAGCGAAAGCGUGGGGAGCGAACAGGCUUAGAUACCUGGGUAGUCCACGCUGUAAACGGUGGGUACUAGGUGUGGGGUCCAUUCCACGGGUUCCGUGCCGUAGCUAACGCUUUAAGUACCCCGCCUGGGGAGUACGGCCGCAAGGCUAAAACUCAAAGGAAUUGACGGGGCCCCGCACAAGCGGCGGAGCAUGCGGAUUAAUUCGAUGCAACGCGUAGAACCUUACCUGGGUUUGACAUGGAUCGGGAGUGCUCAGAGAUGGGUGUGCCUCUUUUGGGGUCGGUUCACAGGUGGUGCAUGCCUGUCGUCAGCUCGUGUCGUGAGAUGUUGGGUUAAGUCCCGCAACGAGCGCAACCCUUGUUCACUGUUGCCAGCACGUUAUGGUGGGGACUCAGUGGAGACCGCCGGGGUCAACUCGGAGGAAGGUGGGGAUGACGUCAAGUCCUCAUGCCCCUUAUGUCCAGGGCUUCACGCAUGCUACAAUGGCUGGUACAGAGAGUGGCGAGCCUGUGAGGGUGAGCGAAUCUCGGAAAGCCGGUCUCAGUUCGGAUUGGGGUCUGCAACUCGACCUCAUGAAGUCGGAGUCGCUAGUAAUCGCAGAUCAGCAACGCUGCGGUGAAUACGUUCCCGGGGCU